Molecule: ribosomal RNA, 500 nt
Filed under: uncultured bacterium
Lineage: Bacteria
Description: bacterial SSU rRNA
Rfam family: Bacterial small subunit ribosomal RNA
Source: RNAcentral
UUAUGGCUCAGGAUGAACGCUGGCGGCGUGCCUAACACAUGCAAGUCGAGCGGGAAUCUCUGAUCGAACUCGGUUGAUUGAGGGAGAGGAUAGCGGCGGACGGGUGAGUAACGCGUAGGUAACCUGCCCUUCACACAGGGAUAGCCUCGGGAAACCGGGAUUAAUACCUGAUAACGCGUCGGGGUCACAUGGCCCUGACGCCAAAGAUUUAUCGGUGAAGGAUGGACCUGCGUCUGAUUAGCUGGUUGGUGAGGUAACGGCCCACCAAGGCAACGAUCAGUAGCCGACCUGAGAGGGUAAUCGGCCACAUUGGAACUGAGACACGGUCCAAACUCCUACGGGAGGCAGCAGUGGGGAAUAUUGCACAAUGGGCGCAAGCCUGAUGCCAGCAACGCCGCGUGAGCGAAGAAGGUCUUCGGAUCGUAAAGCUCUGUCCUGAGGAACGAAGAAGUGACGGUACCUCGGGAGGAAGCCCCGGCUAACUACGUGCCAGCCGCAGC